UACGUAUGUCUCGAGCGUUACCCGGAAUCACUGGGUGUAAAGGGUUCGUAGGCGGUUUAAUAAGUUGGAUAUGAAAGACCGGAGCUCAACUUCGUGUUUGUGUUCAAAACUGUUAAACUAGAAUCAGGGAGAGGUAAGUAGAAUUCUAAGUGUAGGGGUGCAAUCCGUAGAUACUUAGAGGAAUACCAAAAGCGAAGGCAACUUACUGGAACUGUAUUGACGCUGAGGAACGAAAGCGUGGGUAGCGAAAAGG
RNAcentral lists this ribosomal RNA (253 nucleotides) under uncultured bacterium. RNAcentral describes it as "partial 16S ribosomal RNA". It matches the Rfam family "Bacterial small subunit ribosomal RNA", at positions 524 to 776 of the family's 1533-position model. The record is from RNAcentral.